This 604-nucleotide ribosomal RNA is filed under the name Trichoderma longibrachiatum. RNAcentral's name for it is "eukaryotic LSU rRNA". The stretch from base 228 to 381 matches the Rfam family "5.8S ribosomal RNA". The record is from RNAcentral. Lineage: Eukaryota; Fungi; Ascomycota; Sordariomycetes; Hypocreales; Hypocreaceae.
UUACCGAGUUUACAACUCCCAAACCCCAAUGUGAACGUUACCAAUCUGUUGCCUCGGCGGGAUUCUCUUGCCCCGGGCGCGUCGCAGCCCCGGAUCCCAUGGCGCCCGCCGGAGGACCAACUCCAAACUCUUUUUUUCUCUCCGUCGCGGCUCCCGUCGCGGCUCUGUUUUAUUUUUGCUCUGAGCCUUUCUCGGCGACCCUAGCGGGCGUCUCGAAAAUGAAUCAAAACUUUCAACAACGGAUCUCUUGGUUCUGGCAUCGAUGAAGAACGCAGCGAAAUGCGAUAAGUAAUGUGAAUUGCAGAAUUCAGUGAAUCAUCGAAUCUUUGAACGCACAUUGCGCCCGCCAGUAUUCUGGCGGGCAUGCCUGUCCGAGCGUCAUUUCAACCCUCGAACCCCUCCGGGGGGUCGGCGUUGGGGGAUCGGCCCCUCACCGGGCCGCCCCCGAAAUACAGUGGCGGUCUCGCCGCAGCCUCUCCUGCGCAGUAGUUUGCACACUCGCACCGGGAGCGCGGCGCGGCCACAGCCGUAAAACACCCCAAACUUCUGAAAUGUUGACCUCGGAUCAGGUAGGAAUACCCGCUGAACUUAAGCAUAUCAAUAA